UAACAUGUUCAUCAUCAUUGCAACAACACCAAACUUAUUUUUUAUUUCCUCUUCUGCCUGAAGAUCAUUCAGGCUGAUUGCUGCAGAAAAACAGAUCUGUUCAUAGUUUAUCCAAAGAGAAAAGAUGGAAGCUGUAGUUGUUCUGCUGCUGAUGGUACUCAGAAUUUCUAACGGUGAGCUGUUGGAUUUUUAUGACACAGUUUUGCUCUGAAUUCAGAUCCAUAUAAUUUCUGGAGAUGUGUAUAAUGUUUGCAUGUUUAGCAUUUGUUUGUGGUUUAUUGUGUUGACAUGUGCAUUAGAAAUAUGUAGGAUAGAACCUGUUUAGGAUUUGGUCAUUUGUGUGUUGUGCAGGUGUAGAAACCUCCUGUGAUGGACGACAGGAUAAAACUCAGUGUUAUGGAGCUCUGGGAGGAACUCUGGUCCUGCAGUUGAUGGACAAAGUCCCAGAGAUACUGACAUUCAAAUGGGGGAACUCAACAGGAACGAUUCUGAAUCGGAUUAGAAACGGGUCUGUGACGAAUACAUUAUCAAACAGGUCAGAGUUUAUUUCCCAUAAUGGAACACUGAGGAUGAACAGCCUGAACAGAACUGAUGGUGGUGAAUAUAAACUUGAAAUAUUUAAAGAGGAUGGAGUGAGAACAGCAGUACGGACUCUACAGUUGAACAUCCAAGGUACGUUUGACUGAGAGCUUUGAUUAAAUCUUCCUGUCAUAUUCUAACUCUUAUAUAACACAGGAUUCAUGUUCUGCUGUGUAGAGAGCUGAUCAUUUUCUGUUCUAAUCAAAGUUCAUGUGUUUCAGCUCCUGUGUCGACUGUCCGGCUGACGUCUGAGUGUCUGUCCCAGGGAGAGAAGAGGAUGUCCUGCUCCUCUGUUGGAGACAGUCCUCAGUACAGCUGGACUCUGGAUGGAGACACACUGACAGAUGAUCAGGUCCUCUCUGGGAAUAAUGAGACUAAUGAGAUCAUUCUGAAACAAACAGUGUCAGGACGGCUGGUGUGUUUAGUCAGGAAUCACGUCAGUGAAGCCUCAGUAACAGAGAUGAUUUCAACCUGUGGUGUAGAAACCUCCUGUGAUGGCCGGCAGGAUAAAACUCAGUGUUAUGGAGCUCUGGGAGGAACUCUGGUCCUGCAGUUGAUGGACAAAGUCCCAGAGAUACUGACAUUCAAAUGGUGGAACUCAAAAGGAAUGAUUCUGAUUCAGAUUAGAAACAGGCCUGUGAUGAAUAGAUUAUCAACCCGGUUAGAGUUUAUUUCCCAUAAUGGAACAUUGAGGAUAAACAGCCUGAGGAGAACUGAUGGUGGAGAAUAUAAACUUGAAAUAUUUAAUGAGGAUGGAGAGAGAACAGCAGUACGGACUCAACAGUUGAACAUCCAAGCUCCUGUGUCGACUGUCCGGCUGACGUCUGAGUGUCUGUCCCAGGGAGAGAAGAGGAUGUCCUGCUCCUCUGAUGGAGACAGUCCUCAGUACAGCUGGACUCUGGAUGGAAACACACUGACAGAUGAUCAGCUCCUCUCUGUUAAUAAUGAGACUAAUGAGAUCAUUCUGAAACAAACAGUGUCAGGACGGCUGGUGUGUUUAGUCAGGAAUCACGUCAGUGAAGCCUCAGUAACAGAGAUGAUUUCAACCUGUGGUGUAGAAACCUCCUGUGAUGGCCGGCAGGAUAAAACUCAGUGUUAUGGAGCUCUGGGAGGAACUCUGGUCCUCCAGUUGAUGGACAAAGUCCCAGAGCUGGUGACAUUCAGAUGGUUGAAAUCAAAUGUAUUAAUUCUGAUUCAGAUUAGAAACGGGCCUGUGACGAAUAAAUUAUCAACCAGGUCAGAGUUUAUUUCCCAUAAUGGAACAUUGAGGAUGAACAGCCUGAGCAGAACUGAUGGUGGUGAAUAUAAACUUGAAAUAUUUAAUGAGGAUGGAGCGAGGACAGCUAGUCGGACUCAACAGUUGAACAUCCAAGCUCCUGUGUCGACUGUCCGGCUGACGUCUGAGUGUCUGUCCCAGGGAGAGAAGAGGAUGUCCUGCUCCUCUGAUGGAGACAGUCCUCAGUACAGCUGGACUCUGGAUGGAGACACACUGACAGAUGAUCAGCUCCUCUCUGGGAAUAAUGAGACUAAUGAGAUCAUUCUGAAACAAACAGUGUCAGGACGGCUGGUGUGUUUAGUCAGGAAUCACGUCAGUGAAGCCUCAGUAACAGAGAUGAUUUCAACCUGUGGUGAGUGA
This is a long non-coding RNA of Takifugu rubripes (torafugu), 2215 nucleotides long. Lineage: Eukaryota; Metazoa; Chordata; Actinopteri; Tetraodontiformes; Tetraodontidae. The record is from Ensembl.